Triticum aestivum (bread wheat) is the source of this 2622-nucleotide RNA transcript. RefSeq lists it as uncharacterized. The record is from RefSeq and is a predicted model, not a curated record. Lineage: Eukaryota; Viridiplantae; Streptophyta; Magnoliopsida; Poales; Poaceae. The transcript is spliced from 3 exons.
GUCCCACACCUCGCGCCUCCCUCCCACACCCCAAAAACCCUAUCCACCCACAGCCGCCGCCACCUCUCCCUCUCUCCUCCGGCUCUGGAUUUAGAUUCGCCACCCACCGGCGCCCUCACAUCUCGCCGCCCAUAUCCCCCAAGCCACCAUCCUCCCACCCUCUCCGUCUCCCCCUCCCUCCCCUCCUCUCCUCAGAGAGGAGAGGGAGAUCGACCAACCAUGGCGGCGGCCAUGGUGGCAGCCAGAUCUGGGAUGGUCGCAGGCACCUCUCCCUCCUUGCAAAGGCUACGGGAUUUACCGGUAUGGGACAGGAGCACUGUUUCCUCCCGUUGCUUCUGCUCGGCCGUGCGUGAGGAGAUCCCAUGGACGCUGAUGUCAAGCUCCGCUACUCUGACCCCCAUCCAGGUCUGCCCCCUUCUCUGUUCCCCUCUUCGAUCUGCCCUUCUUCCAAUUCCUUCUCCGAGGCAUGCAUUUUCUCUUGGUUUUCUUCCUCACACAGGCACCUGCACCAGCAACUCUAUGCAGGGAGAGGGGUGAGGCGAUGCAGGGAGAAAAAUGAAGAAUGGGAUGCACCUGAGGAGAGAGGGGUUGUCAUCUUCGUUCCUGCUCGACCACGUUGCCUAUGGAUGGUGAGAGGAGAAGGUGCUGCAAGUGCUAGGAGAAGGGGUCGGAUGCAACUGAAACCCUUGCUGUGAGAGUCUCUGUAUAGACCAAGCACCUACGGGUGAAAUGGAUGUGAACCUUCAGAAAUCAAAUGUUUCGUGCCGGCGCGGCUCCGGCGCCUGCUGGAUGGUGCUCCUGGAACAAGACGGCACGGAGGCCCUCCUCUUGCAGGAUGUGCUGACGCGGCGCACGCAGCGGCAUGUUUGGGGCAAGCUUGAGCGCGAUGGCCUUGUCUCAACGAUGACGGCGGUGAACGUUGGUGCUCCUUCUCGUCCUCUAUCUCCAAGGACAUGCGCCGGUACAGCUCGGGCAACCCCGCCCCUGAACGCCGUCCACCCAUCCGGCGAUGUACAGGUCGUCCUCACGUGUGUGGAUUCGCCUCUUGCUGGACUCAACACUUGCAAUGUGGACAUGGUGAUCUUCUUUGCCCUCCCCCCUCUACCCCAAAAUCUAGAUGACAUUUACAUCUGUACAUACAUACAUAUGUUUUAAUUUUGACUGAAACAAUCUGGAUGGUUCCUGCAUCUAUAGAUAAACAUGAAUAACCAUGCUUUGGUUCAGUUUGUAUGUAUCAAUUUGGUUUAACUUUGACUGAAUAUAUAUAUGAAUACAUUUUGGUUUCUAGGCCCUUGUAAUGAUGGGCUUACUGUCUGACAGGGUUCAUUCUUCAGUUAUCCUUGUUAGUCGUGACCCCUUUAGCUAAUCUGUUUGGAACUGGUGGGUGGUACAUCUGCAUGUUGUUUGAUCGAAAGGCGGAACCGUUAGUAUUAUCAUGUUUGCUUUCCUUGGAAAUGAUUCAGCUCUAGGAGCAAAUUAUUAGUUUACUGUUUAUAAUCUGUAUCAUUUAUCAAAUUGUGUUGUAAAUUAUCAUUCCCUAGCUCAUUUUAAUUGUUUUGCAUUCCCUGGCUCAUUUUAAUUUUGUUCCAGUGGUGGAGUAUAACUCUGGGCAGCUUAUCAUCCAUAUUCUUGCAGCUUUAUGUUCCAUCUAAUAUGUAUAGAAAUCAAUGUGUAUUCAUAACCAGGCGUGUCAUUAGCUAGUUUAAAUCCUCACUGUAGGCAACAUAACUUGCCAGCACAUGGCAGUUUGUUCACUUAACCAUACCUUAUAAUGGGUCAGCUUUUGUUCUAUACCAGACGCAGCCAUGUAACCAAAAUAUAUUCCACAGCAGCAACAAGUCUGUUUCGUGCUACCAAAAGUAGGUUCCUUGUUAUAUUUCAGAGAUGUGCAUGCGAACUUGUUCAGUCAGCAACCAUUUAUGUAGGUACCGGCAAGGAGUGCACUUUGUGAGAAGUGCUAGUUACGGGAGUAUGCUCAUGUCACCAGCAUACUAAGGGUUUCUCUACAACCAAUUAUCUUCUGCACGGAGCCACAGAGGGCCAACCUGGGGUAUUGUUCGCUACAUCAACACUUGUAAUAUUUCCCUAUACCUACAUUCAUUUGUUAUUAAGUUAUAAUCAUCUUCAGUGUAGAGUAUAUAAUAUUUUUGUAGUUUUGGUGGUCAGGUUUAUAACAUGGUUGUUCGUACAAAAUUGUUGUAACUUCUCAUCAGUAUUUCUACGUACAAUUUUCAAAAUCUUUUUGUUCUUCCAACGUACAUACAACUGAAAUUUUAUCUUGAAACUUGAUAAAAUGACACCCCUUUUGUUGGUUCUAACAAAAUUACUCAUAUCUAAAAAUGUCUAAUGUUUGUUCUGUUUUUGGACAGAUAUAUUAGAUGAUAGUUGCCAUGAAGAGUGUCGAUUGCAAGAAAUUGAAUAAGAAAUUUUUAUAUACGUUGUUGAAGUAAAUUGGAUUUUGAUGGUCCUAACCUUGCUAUGUGUUGUAUUUUGUCAAUUCAUGUUGUAAAUAAUCAUUUCAGGGAGGUUUUGUAAACUGCUAUGUUGUAUGUACCGAUGGAUGGCUGUGUAAAUACUACAGGGCAUUUUGAAGUAUUUUUUCUUCAGCCAAAUUUGGCACUA